Long non-coding RNA from Rhagoletis zephyria (snowberry fruit fly), 1518 nucleotides. RefSeq lists it as uncharacterized. Lineage: Eukaryota; Metazoa; Arthropoda; Insecta; Diptera; Tephritidae. The record is from RefSeq and is a predicted model, not a curated record.
CAGUCUCUUUUAUUUCUAAACUAUAACUGAUAGAAAUGUUAAACAUGCGCAACCACGGUUAACAGCCGAAUUGUAACAUAGUUGCGUAAAUAAGACGUUUCCAUCAAUUAUAAUUUAAAAAUAUGAGACUGGUGCUUUGGCUUGACGCAUCUCUGAACGCACCCUUAAGUUUUUUUUUUUUUUUUGUAAUGGUAUAACAAUGUUUUGAUGCAAACUUAUAUUGUAGUUGCAAUGGAGGGGCCAAGGGGGAAUUUUCGAAAAAAUCCAGAUAGAACUCUUAUUAUCUUUAUUUAGCUCUUAAGUUUGAUAAACCGCUUGAGUCGACCGGUAUGUCAUUUUAAUCCUCAGUAAAUAUACAUGAUGGAAAUAACACAAUUAGUUGAGUUGAUAAGAAGGUCUAAUAUUCUAUUCUAUUGGGAGUAGGAUUUUCAACAUCGAUUUUUCCGAUAUCGAUAUUGUUCAGCCCGAUAUAUCGCCAUAUCGAGUUUACAUGCAAUGAAUUAAAUCGAGUCAUAAUACCGAUACUUUCUUAAAUAUCGAACAUUCCUACCUCAAUAGUAGUUGAAUCAUGAUUCAAUUUAAAUUUUCGAAUUUCCUUAUCCACAGUACGACCUCGAUAGACGUGGCACAAUGAAGGAGUGAUUAACGUGACGUUCAAUUAAAAAUUUUCAUAAUUUUUUUAGUUGCGUAAAUUGAGCUUUUAUCGUUUUUUUUUUCAGUUUAGACGCGUUCACAGACCUAGAACUGUAGUUUAAUAAUAUAAUUACUAUAUUUUGUUACUAAUCCAACCUACAUAGUUUAUAUAUUAGAAUCCAUUCAAUGAAAUUUCUGAUAUAAAAAGUUGUCAUCCACAAUUGCAGUUGGCAAUGUUUUUACUUUAUUUCACUUACAUACAUACAUCGCAGAACUUAGAAAACUAAGAAGGUGCAUAGCAGUUUUCUAUGUGAUUUGCUUACAUAUAUUUUGUCUAACUAUUUUUUCCUCAUUGUCAUUGCUUUGUUGAGUUUAUUUACUCUUUUAUCGGUUGCUGUUCUUUAUAUGAGUCUUUCUAUAUUCUCGUGGCCGGUUGUUUUCUGCUCGUUUUCUUUUGGUUAGAGUGGGAUAUAGUAAUUAUUUGAAAAGAAAACUGUGGAGAUGAGGUGCUUUCAAUAGACUACAACAGAGUUUAGUAGUAUAUGCUUUAGAAUAGAUUGAGGGGUCGGGAUUAAAAAGUACGGUGGAUAUAACCAAACUUAGAAUUUUUCUAGCAAUUCACGAUACAAAAUAUGAGAUGCGGGCUAUUAAAUCACGGACAUAAAAAUGUAUAGUAGAAUAUGCGUGUAUAUGUUUGUGACUGCAUCUAUUACAUUUCGAUGUUAUGUACAUCCAAAAUAAAGAUACAUGUAUAUGUACAUAUAAAUACAGUGCCGGUAAUAAUAAUUGCACUAUGGUGGAUUUAUGCUAUCUUUAAGAGGAAAAGCAAAGAACGUAGAUAAUAAGGAAGGACAACACGUUCUAAUUGUAGCGGGUGUGAAUAAC